UUUUUUUUUUUUUAAUGAAAUACUCAGGAAAAAAUACAAAUGCAACAUAUGUUUGCAUAAAGCACUGGCAAAUACCAACUCAGUAACUAUGAUUUGAAAACAGCAGGGUGCAUAGAAGAAAGAGGACUGGCACCAUCUGAACUUGUAACUUAGUAGCUAAGAGUGGCAAUAAAACUAGAUUCACCUUAAUUUGGCAGAACAGAACUCUUGCAAAGUACUCGCAAAAGUUUUCCAGCAGCACAGAAAAUGUUUUCUGCAGCAAGCACCAUUUUUUUUAUAAUAGGAUAUAAUGUGUUGAUUUUCUGUAGAGACAAAUUCCACCACCAUCCCUUAAAACCACUGUGGGGAAUACUUAGCUCCUGUGCUACCUAACAGCACCAUUUGAAACCUACUACCAUUACACACAAUUAUAACAAUUGUAAUCAGCAUAAACAUGUUCACAUAGGUAAGAAAUAAAACCAACAGUACAGUUUCGGUUUUUUAAAUAUAUAAGUCUUUUAAAAAGCUGUCAAGACUAUGAUUUCAUAUAGCAAAUCUAUUCUAACUGCUGUAUCAGCUUACAUGUACAAUAAUCUACAGGAUAAAAAUCAAGCUGCCUCUGUAGGUCAUAAUGGUGCUAACAUUUAUUUGCAGUCAACUUAUGUUCUCCUACAUUUAGUAUCAACAACAGGUUUAAAUAUUAGCAGUAUUUCUUCAAGAAAAAGACUAUCAUUCUACUUUUAGAAAAACCAUCAACGGGUAUUAUCAUUUAGUUUUUCGCCCUUUCUGAACACCUAGUACAUUUAAAAACAAAACAAACAGCACAGAAAAAAAAUGAGAAAUAUGUUAGUGGGUAUCUGAAAAGGGCCACAGUUUUGUAUAGUCACCCAAAUCUUCUAAAAAAUAAUAGUUUAAUUUGGUGAGUCAUCUUACUUUCAGACCACAACAACUAUAAAGCAAUAACACAUUUCACCUCUGUCCUAUGCAAAUCUGGUCAUAUAAAAUGUAGGAUAUUCAUCAUUCUGAAAGCAAGAAGAAUAGUCCUUCUCACUUCUCUACUAACAAAUCUUGUAGAGAGUCAUGGCAAAAAGUAGUCUUGUACAAAACAGAGCAUCUCUCUUGAUCCACUCUCUGCUAGUUGAACUGGUGCAGUAAAACUGAAACUAAUUAACCACAAGACAUUUAUAAUAUAUGAAAUGUUUAUGUUCUUUUUAUCAAGAGGUUUCUGAUGUAUUUCUCGAGAGCAAACUUUCCUGAAGAAGACAAGUUUUCAUGACAUGGAUCUGAACACAUGCCGGAUGAUACUUCAUGUUGGUAGACCUUCAUAAAGCAUCUUAAGUGAGAAAAAUGUCCAUUCUUUCAAAGGCAUCCACUUGAAUCAUUGUCAGAGGAAAUUUACAUGCCAUUGCAGAGAUGUAGAAGUGAUGAUGCUUCCAUCUGCCUUAAAUCAGAGGGGUAUUAAGCACACACCCAAAGAUUUGUGUAAUCAGCCUUCUGGAACUGUGCUAGUGAAACUAAGAACCCAUUCUUAGCUCUUCCCAUUAAAGAGUUCAAGGGUUUGUUGUUGUUGUUUUUGUUUUUAUCCUUAUUUUCAGUUGCAUAGAUCUACUCCACAAAAACAGUCUUAUAUUGAACUGGUAAGCUGUGCCAACAGUAAGCAAGACCAUUUAAAAUUCAGCUCCAGAGUGCAGAAAGAGGAAAUCAACAGGAAGAAUGACAAAAUAGGACACAUCUCCAACCUGGACUAAAAAAAUGAAAUGCAUAAUGAUUCAAAACAUCUAAAUAUCUGAUCCAGAACUUAAUAGCAAUCUCAGCAAAAUAAAUAAAUAAAUAAUAAUAAUAAUAAAAAAAUUAAAAUAAAAAAAAAUUAAAGGUCUUGACUUGAUAUUUUAUUAUAGAACAAAAGAAUAAUUUGAUUUCCUUUUCUAAAUCUACCUUCUUUCAUCUUAAACUUGUUCCCUUGUCCUGUUGCUGCACUCAUCCCCAGAUGAAGAGUCUCUCCCCAGAGACGCACAAGACACGUUUUCUUCUGUUCAAGAAAAUCCCCUGUGCACAGUGAGUAGCAGAGAUACAUGUAUACUUUCCUUAUGAACAUCCUCGCUGUUACUCAAGUCACAGUAUGGAUACACAUUUACUACAUCUAGCAAGCAUACAAGAUUACACAGGAGAGAAGAUGCAUACAAUAUCUUAAAGUUUUAAAUAAAUCAUUUUCUCCUAGACUACAGCUAAUACCAUAUUACAAGGCAUUAUCCAGUAUAUACAAUUUUCUAACACCAUCUAUUAUUUGGAGUGAUUAAAAUCCAAUCACUGGAAGUAGUUAGAGAAGUAACACAUACAAAGCAGCUAAAAAGUUGUUACACAAUCUGCACUGGAGGAUUCCUUCGGAGGAUACUUGAUUUUUCUUUUUCUUUGUCCACUAGCCAUCAAAUCCCAGAACAACAUUUUUCCAAAGGUAAAAUGCUACGUAACAUCAGAAAGCAAUCUAGAUUCAGAACUCAGUUAAAAUAUAAUUGGUUUCUAUGUCUGAUAGUGGAAAGUAAGAAGUAAAAAGAAAUGACAGAAUCAGCUGUAAGUUGUUCUGCCACCUUAUUAAUAGUCUUCAGUGAAAAAAGACUUUGUGCCCACAUGCAUUCAGAGCACAUUAUUCUCAGCUCAAGUAUGCAAGGGAUAAGAAGCGGCUUAAACUUUCAUAUCUUCACAUCUAAUAUGCUACAGCUCUCUUCCAGCAUUUUGUGGGAGAGAUAAUGAACUUUGCUAGGAGAGGAGUUACAGGAAGCACAUUCUUUAAAAAAAAAAAAAAAACAAAAACAAAAAAAAAAAAACCAAAAAAAACAACCUUUAUUCUCUCUCUCUCUCUCUCCACUCCUUUAAUCUCUCUUCCUUUCUCUUCUCUCUUCCUCCCCUUUUCUCCAAUAUAUUUUUCCUUUAAUUCUAACCUUAUCUAUUUUCUCCCUGGGGUGAUGUUUAACAUGGUUUAGGUGGAGAGUGGAGUACUACAGUCAUAUGUGUUUAGCAUGUACUUAGAGAUCAUUAGAGUACUGAAAGGUGUUAACUUUAAUAUUAAUUUCAUGGUUAGUGAAGCAAAAGACCUCACUCCAGGCACUGCAGCCUUCAAGAUACUACACUGAAACCGUUUUCUUCUUAUUCCCACAACCUUUAGCCUAAACAAGGCCACCCUUUCACCACUCCCUCCUUUGACUACUUUUUGUGCAUGGUGACCUUGCAGAUCUCCAACCUCAAAAUUUACAAAAGAGAUAAGCAUGCACCAGCAUUUUAACCUAUUACGUGCAAAUGUCUUAGCUGUAAACUGCAGAAACUUCUCUCCCAGUUCCACUAGGACUAUGGCAUUUGCACAGCUGAGACCUGCCUCAGAAUGAGAGAAAGGUAGAGAGUAAUCAAACAGAACAGUAUGUCAGAGGGCCCGGUCAAAACUGGUUUUUAGGUGCUCACCUUUGUAGGUAAGAGAUCUUUCGUCUCCAAGAUGGGACUGCAUUGGUGGUGACUAAAGAGGUAAUUCAGUAAAAACAUUUUCCAAGUCAGAAAUACAAAUACACUUUUGCAAUGUUAAGUAUCUAUCCAGAAUAUGUAUUAUUGAUGCACUGUUUGGAAGGCUCGGGAGUCAUUAUUUUGCUUUCUCUACACAACUGAAUACUUAAGUAUGGCUUUGUGUUUACUACUAUUUUCUUUGUCAGAUUAAGUGAUUACAUGUAUAAAUAGAGGAUAUAUAGAACCAUUCACUUUGAGGAGUAACUAUUCUUAACAGCAUCAGCAAAAGGUAUGUAAUUAUUCUUGCUCAUUCAAAAUGAUAAUCUCAGGUACAAAAUACUUCAUAUUUUAGUCACUAAAAAAACCCCAACAAAUUAAAAAUCUGAUUCUUGAAAUUAGAAUAUGCUCAGGCAUAUCUGCUCAACCAUCAAGAUGACACUUGGCAUCCUUUGGAGGGCUUAACAACAAAUAUCUGCAGACAUGAAUUAACUCAUUAGAUGUCUGUGUUCUUCUGUUUUUUUGGUUUUUUUUUCUCCUCCAUAGUUCCUCAGUCUGCCUUUUCACCCUGAAAAAUAUUGAUAUCAGUAUCAGAUUCUUGAUUUUGUUUGUUUGCUUUUAAAGCCCAUAAGGUAUACUGUACUUCAGUCUACUUGAUUGUUUCUUCAGAUUAAACUGGUAUGAGAUGCAGUUAACUCAAAUAAUGGUGCACUGCUAAAGAAAGCUGUUAUCUCAGAUAGCAAAAGCCUGUCACUAAAAAUCUACCAGAUUAUAAAUCUAAAGACCAUUAACAAUAAAACCAUUAUAUCAUAGAAUUACAGAAUCAUAUAAUGAAGAAACAACCAUAAUUUGUUUUUAUGAGAGGUAAAUAAGAAACAUCGCAGCUCAUAUACCCAUACGUGCAACCUCAGCCCAAAAGCAUUACUCUAAAGUAUGUUACGUAAACUAACAAAACUGUUCGUGACAGUUGAACUUGGAUAGAAAAUUUGGAAAUCUAAGUAUCAUAGAAUCACAGAAUCUUAUGAGUUGCAAGGGACUCUUAAAGGUCAUCUAGUCCAACUUCUCUCCAGUGAACAGGGACCAGCAGAUCCAGUCUGACCUUGGAUUUCAUCAAGGAUUGGGCUUCCAUCCCCUAUCUGGGCAACCGGUGC
Molecule: long non-coding RNA, 4613 nt
Organism: Gallus gallus (chicken)
Lineage: Eukaryota; Metazoa; Chordata; Aves; Galliformes; Phasianidae
Source: Ensembl